GUGGAUGUAGCUCAAUCGGUAGAGCACCAGGUUGUGGUCCUGGGUGUCGUGGGUUCGACUCCCAUCAUCCACC
This 73-nucleotide transfer RNA is filed under the name Myxococcales bacterium. Its description in RNAcentral is "tRNA-His". It matches the Rfam family "tRNA". Rfam says of the family: Transfer RNA (tRNA) molecules are approximately 80 nucleotides in length. Their secondary structure includes four short double-helical elements and three loops (D, anti-codon, and T loops). The record is from RNAcentral. Lineage: Bacteria; Pseudomonadati; Myxococcota; Myxococcia; Myxococcales. RNAcentral also lists the same sequence under 2 other names.